Molecule: ribosomal RNA, 301 nt
Filed under: uncultured bacterium
Lineage: Bacteria
Description: partial 16S ribosomal RNA
Rfam family: Bacterial small subunit ribosomal RNA
Source: RNAcentral
CAGUCGCCGCGGUAAUACGAAGGGGGCUAGCGUUGCUCGGAAUUACUGGGCGUAAAGGGAGCGUAGGCGGAUCGUUUAGUCAGGGGUGAAAUCCCGGGGCUCAACCUCGGAACUGCCUUUGAUACUGGCGAUCUUGAGUAUGGGAGAGGUGUGUGGAACUCCGAGUGUAGAGGUGAAAUUCGUAGAUAUUCGGAAGAACACCAGUGGCGAAGGCGACACACUGGCCCAUUGCUGACGCUGAGGCUCGAAAGCGUGGGGAGCAAACAGGAUUAGAUACCCGCGUAGUCCCUGUCUCUUAUAC